GACGAACGCUGGCGGCGUGCUUAACACAUGCAAGUCGAACGGAAAGGCCUUUUCGGUGGUACUCGAGUGGCGAACGGGUGAGUAACACGUGGGUGAUCUGCCCUGCACUCUGGGAUAAGCCUGGGAAACUGGGUCUAAUACCGGAUAGGACCGCUCUUUUGUGUGUGUGGUGGCAAGAUUUUUCGGUGUAGGAUGUGCCCGCGGUGUAUCAGCUUGUUGAUGGGGUAAUGGCCUACCAAGGCGGCGACGGGUAGCCGGACCGAGAGGUUGGUCGGCCACAUUAGAACUGUGAGGCAGGCAGGAGUCGUAAGGGAGGCAGCAGGGGCGAAUGCUGCACAAAGGGCGGAAGCCUGAUGCAGGGGCGCCGCGUGGGGGAUGACGGCCUUCGGGUGGAAGAAUCUUUGCGCAAGGAACGAAGCGUUUUGUGACGGUACCUGGAGAAGAAGCACCGGCUAACUACGUG
This 463-nucleotide ribosomal RNA is filed under the name uncultured bacterium. RNAcentral describes it as "partial 16S ribosomal RNA". It matches the Rfam family "Bacterial small subunit ribosomal RNA", at positions 28 to 507 of the family's 1533-position model. The record is from RNAcentral.